UACGGGGGGGGCAAGCGUUGUUCGGAAUUACUGGGCGUAAAGGGCUCGUAGGUGGCUUCGUAAGUCCGUUGUGAAAGUCAAAGGCUCAACCUUUGAAAGCCGAUGGAUACUGCGGAGCUAGAGUACGGAAGAGGCGAGUGGAAUUCCUGGUGUAGCGGUGGAAUGCGCAGAUAUCAGGAGGAACACCGAUGGCGAAGGCAGCCUCCUGGGCCAGCACUGACGCUCAUGCACGAAAGCGUGGGGAGCAAACAGG
RNAcentral lists this ribosomal RNA (253 nucleotides) under uncultured bacterium. Its description in RNAcentral is "partial 16S ribosomal RNA". It matches the Rfam family "Bacterial small subunit ribosomal RNA", at positions 524 to 776 of the family's 1533-position model. The record is from RNAcentral.